Molecule: ribosomal RNA, 253 nt
Filed under: uncultured bacterium
Lineage: Bacteria
Description: partial 16S ribosomal RNA
Rfam family: Bacterial small subunit ribosomal RNA
Source: RNAcentral
UACGAAGGGUGCAAACGUUGCUCGGAAUCAUUGGGCGUAAAGCGCACGUAGGCGGCUUUGCAAGUCCCAUGUGAAAGCCCACGGCUUAACCGUGGAAGUGCAUGGGAAACUGCAGAGCUUGAGUACUUAAGAGGAUCGCGGAAUUCCCGGUGUAGAGGUGAAAUUCGUAGAUAUUCGGAGGAACACCAGUGGCGAAGGCGGCUCACUGGUCCAUUACUGACGCUGAGGUGCGAAAGCGUGGGGAGCAAACAGG